RNAcentral lists this ribosomal RNA (517 nucleotides) under uncultured bacterium. RNAcentral describes it as "bacterial SSU rRNA". It matches the Rfam family "Bacterial small subunit ribosomal RNA", at positions 8 to 518 of the family's 1533-position model. The record is from RNAcentral.
AGAGUUGAUUAUGGCUCAGGAUGAACGCUAGCGACAGGCUUAACACAUGCAAGUCGAGGGGCAGCAUAAAAGUAGCAAUACUUGGUGGCGACCGGCGCACGGGUGAGUAACGCGUAUGCAACCUACCUAUCAGAGGGGAAUAACCCGGCGAAAGUCGGACUAAUACCGCAUAAAACAGGGACACCGCAUGGUGAUAUUUGUUAAAGAAAUUCGCUGAUAGAUGGGCAUGCGUUCCAUUAGGUAGUUGGUGAGGUAACGGCUCACCAAGCCGACGAUGGAUAGGGGAACUGAGAGGUUGGUCCCCCACACUGGUACUGAGACACGGACCAGACUCCUACGGGAGGCAGCAGUGAGGAAUAUUGGUCAAUGGGCGAGAGCCUGAACCAGCCAAGUCGCGUGAAAGGAAGAAGGAUCUAUGGUUCGUAAACUUCUUUUGCAGGGGAAUAAAGUGCAGGACGUGUCCUGUUUUGUAUGUACCCUGAGAAUAAGGAUCGGCUAACUCCGUGCCAGCCGCUGC